RNAcentral lists this ribosomal RNA (332 nucleotides) under uncultured bacterium. Its description in RNAcentral is "bacterial SSU rRNA". It matches the Rfam family "Bacterial small subunit ribosomal RNA", at positions 568 to 898 of the family's 1533-position model. The record is from RNAcentral.
CGUGUAGGCGGUCAGGUAAGUGGAAUGUGAAAUGCCCCGGCUCACCCGGGGACCUGCAUCCCAAACUGCCUGGCUUGAGUAUGGGAGAGGAUGGAGGAAUUCCUGGUGUAGCGGUGAAAUGCGUAGAUAUCAGGAGGAACACCGGUGGCGAAGGCGUCCAUCUGGCCCAAUACUGACGCUGAUGUGCGAAAGCUAGGGGAGCAAACGGGAUUAGAUACCCCGGUAGUCCUAGCCGUAAACGGUGAUCACUAGGUGUUGGGGGCAUCGACCCCUCCAGUGCCGCAGCUAACGCAUUAAGUGAUCCGCCUGGGGAGUACGGCCGCAAGGUUGAA